UCGUCACACUAUCAUUAACUGAAUCCAUAGGUUAAUGAGGCGAACCGGGGGAACUGAAACAUCUAAGUACCCCGAGGAAAAGAAAUCAACCGAGAUUCCCCCAGUAGCGGCGAGCGAACGGGGAGGAGCCCAGAGCCUGAAUCAGCAUGUGUGUUAGUGGAAGCGUCUGGAAAGGCGCGCGAUACAGGGUGACAGCCCCGUACACAAAAGCGCAUGUGCUGUGAGCUCGAUGAGUAGGGCGGGACACGUGGUAUCCUGUCUGAAUAUGGGGGGACCAUCCUCCAAGGCUAAAUACUCCUGACUGACCGAUAGUGAACCAGUACCGUGAGGGAAAGGCGAAAAGAACCCCGGCGAGGGGAGUGAAAAAGAACCUGAAACCGUGUACGUACAAGCAGUGGGAGCACAGGUUUACCUGUGUGACUGCGUACCUUUUGUAUAAUGGGUCAGCGACUUAUAUUCUGUAGCAAGGUUAACCGAAUAGGGGAGCCGGAGGGAAACCGAGUCUUAAUUGGGCGUUAAGUUGCAGGGUAUAGACCCGAAACCCGGUGAUCUAGCCAUGGGCAGGUUGAAGGUUGGGUAACACUAACUGGAGGACCGAACCGACUAAUGUUGAAAAAUUAGCGGAUGACCUGUGGCUGGGGGUGAAAGGCCAAUCAAACCGGGAGAUAGCUGGUUCUCCCCGAAAGCUAUUUAGGUAGCGCCUCGUGAAUUCAUCUCCGGGGGUAGAGCACUGUUUCGGCUAGGGGGCCAUCCCGGCUUACCAACCCGAUGCAAACUGCGAAUACCGGAGAAUGUUAUCACGGGAGACACACGGCGGGUGCUAACGUCCGUCGUGAAGAGGGAAACAACCCAGACCGCCAGCUAAGGUCCCAAAGUCAUGGUUAAGUGGGAAACGAUGUGGGAAGGCCCAGACAGCCAGGAUGUUGGCUUAGAAGCAGCCAUCAUUUAAAGAAAGCGUAAUAGCUCACUGGUCGAGUCGGCCUGCGCGGAAGAUGUAACGGGGCUAAACCAUGCACCGAAGCUGCGGCAGCGACACUGUGUGUUGUUGGGUAGGGGAGCGUUCUGUAAGCCUGUGAAGGUGUGU
Molecule: ribosomal RNA, 1084 nt
Filed under: Salmonella enterica subsp. enterica serovar Enteritidis
Lineage: Bacteria; Pseudomonadati; Pseudomonadota; Gammaproteobacteria; Enterobacterales; Enterobacteriaceae
Description: partial 23S ribosomal RNA
Rfam family: Bacterial large subunit ribosomal RNA
Source: RNAcentral